GAUGAACGCUGGCGGCGUGCCUAAUACAUGCAAGUCGAGCGAACGGACGAGAAGCUUGCUUCUCUGAUGUUAGCGGCGGACGGGUGAGUAACACGUGGAUAACCUACCUAUAAGACUGGGAUAACUUCGGGAAACCGGAGCUAAUACCGGAUAAUAUUUUGAACCGCAUGGUUCAAAAGUGAAAGACGGUCUUGCUGUCACUUAUAGAUGGAUCCGCGCUGCAUUAGCUAGUUGGUAAGGUAACGGCUUACCAAGGCAACGAUGCAUAGCCGACCUGAGAGGGUGAUCGGCCACACUGGAACUGAGACACGGUCCAGACUCCUACGGGAGGCAGCAGUAGGGAAUCUUCCGCAAUGGGCGAAAGCCUGACGGAGCAACGCCGCGUGAGUGAUGAAGGUCUUCGGAUCGUAAAACUCUGUUAUUAGGGAAGAACAUAUGUGUAAGUAACUGUGCACAUCUUGACGGUACCUAAUCAGAAAGCCACGGCUAACUACGUGCCAGCAGCCGCGGUAAUACGUAGGUGGCAAGCGUUAUCCGGAAUUAUUGGGCGUAAAGCGCGCGUAGGCGGUUUUUUAAGUCUGAUGUGAAAGCCCACGGCUCAACCGUGGAGGGUCAUUGGAAACUGGAAAACUUGAGUGCAGAAGAGGAAAGUGGAAUUCCAUGUGUAGCGGUGAAAUGCGCAGAGAUAUGGAGGAGCACCAGUGGCGAAGGCGACUUUCUGGUCUGUAACUGACGCUGAUGUGCGAAAGCGUGGGGAUCAAACAGGAUUAGAUACCCUGGUAGUCCACGCCGUAAACGAUGAGUGCUAAGUGUUAGGGGGUUUCCGCCCCUUAGUGCUGCAGCUAACGCAUUAAGCACUCCGCCUGGGGAGUACGACCGCAAGGUUGAAACUCAAAGGAAUUGACGGGGACCCGCACAAGCGGUGGAGCAUGUGGCUUAAUUCGAAGCAACGCGAAGAACCUUACCAAAUCUUGACAUCCUUUGACAACUCUAGAGAUAGAGCCUUCCCCUUCGGGGGACAAAGUGACAGGUGGUGCAUGGUUGUCGUCAGCUCGUGUCGUGAGAUGUUGGGUUAAGUCCCGCAACGAGCGCAACCCUUAAGCUUAGUUGCCAUCAUUAAGUUGGGCACUCUAAGUUGACUGCCGGUGACAAACCGGAGGAAGGUGGGGAUGACGUCAAAUCAUCAUGCCCCUUAUGAUUUGGGCUACACACGUGCUACAAUGGACAAUACAAAGGGCAGCGAAACCGCGAGGUCAAGCAAAUCCCAUAAAGUUGUUCUCAGUUCGGAUUGUAGUCUGCAACUCGACUACAUGAAGCUGGAAUCGCUAGUAAUCGUAGAUCAGCAUGCUACGGUGAAUACGUUCCCGGGUCU
RNAcentral lists this ribosomal RNA (1372 nucleotides) under uncultured bacterium. RNAcentral describes it as "bacterial SSU rRNA". It matches the Rfam family "Bacterial small subunit ribosomal RNA", at positions 28 to 1381 of the family's 1533-position model. The record is from RNAcentral.